RNAcentral lists this ribosomal RNA (1242 nucleotides) under metagenome. RNAcentral describes it as "bacterial LSU rRNA". It matches the Rfam family "Bacterial large subunit ribosomal RNA", at positions 1564 to 2815 of the family's 2925-position model. The record is from RNAcentral.
UGAGUACGAGAUGCUACGGCAUCGAAGCAGUCUAUGUCAUACUUCCAAGAAAAGCUUGCACUGUCAUAAACAAAGAAUGCCUGUACCAUAACCGACACAGGUGGGUAGGUAGAGUAUGCUAAGGGGCGCGAGAUAACUCUCUCUAAGGAACUCGGCAAAAUGACUCCGUAACUUCGGGAGAAGGAGUGCCUUAUUUCUAAGGUUGCAAUAACAAGAUCCAAGCAACUGUUUACCAAAAACACAGGUCUCCGCUAAGUCGUAAGACGAUGUAUGGGGGCUGACGCCUGCCCAGUGCCAGAAGGUUAAAGAAGUUGGUUAGCAUUAGCGAAGCUGAUAACUGAAGCCCUGGUGAACGGCGGCCGUAACAAUAACGGUCCUAAGGUAGCGAAAUUCCUUGUCGGGUAAGUUCCGACCCGCACGAAAGGCGUAAUGAUUUGGAUACUGUCUCGGAGAGGGGCUCGGUGAAAUAGACUUGUCUGUGAAGAUGCGGACUACCUGCACCUGGACAGAAAGACCCUAUGAAGCUUUACUGUAACUUGAGAUUGAAAUUGGACUUUAUUUGCGCAGUAUAGGUGGGAGGCGUUGAGAAUAAUCUUGCGGGAUUGUUGGAGCCAUCAGUGAGAUACCACUCUUGUAAUGUUAGAUUUCUAACUUUGUAUCAUUAUCUGGUCAAAGAACAGUUUCAGGCGGGCAGUUUGACUGGGGCGGUCGCCUCCCAAAGGGUAACGGAGGCGCACAAAGGUUUCCUCUGAACGGGUAGAAAUCGUAUCUAGAGUGUAAAGGCAUAAGGAAGCUUGACUGUGAGACCUACAAGUCGAGCAGGGACGAAAGUCGGUCUUAGUGAUCUGACGGUGCUGAGUGGAAAGGCCGUCACUCAACGGAUAAAAGUUACUCUAAGGAUAACAGGCUGAUCUCCCCCAAGAGUUCACAUCGACGGGGAGGUUUGGCACCUCGAUGUCGGCUCAUCGCAUCCUGGGGCGGUAGUCCGUCCCAAGGGUUGGGCUGUUCGCCCAUGAAAGCGGUACGCGAGCUGGGUUCAGAACGUCGUGAGACAGUUCGGUCCAUAUCCGGUGUAGGCGUUAGAAUAUUGAGAGGAGCCUUCUCUAGUACGAGAGGACCGAGAAGGACAUACCUCUGGUGUACCAGUUAUCGUGCCAACGGUAAACGCUGGGUAGCUAUGUAUGGAGUGGAUAACCGCUGAAAGCAUCUAAGUGGGAAGCCCACCUCAAGAUAAGUAUUCUC